GUCGGGAGGGCGACGAAUACAACACCCGCAAGGGGAAUAAGUCCGCGGUAUCUUUUGGGCCGUUUCGAGCCUCCCGGCACCACAUU
This is a small RNA of 86 nucleotides. It matches the Rfam family "sRNA-Xcc1". The record is from Rfam.